CGCGAAGAACCUUACCUGGUCUUGACAUCCACAGAAGAAUCCAGAGAUGGAUUUGUGCCUUCGGGAACUGUGAGACAGGUGCUGCAUGGCUGUCGUCAGCUCGUGUUGUGAAAUGUUGGGUUAAGUCCCGCAACGAGCGCAACCCUUAUCCUUUGUUGCCAGCGGUCCGGCCGGGAACUCAAAGGAGACUGCCAGUGAUAAACUGGAGGAAGGUGGGGAUGACGUCAAGUCAUCAUGGCCCUUACGACCAGGGCUACACACGUGCUACAAUGGCGCAUACAAAGAGAAGCGACCUCGCGAGAGCAAGCGGACCUCAUAAAGUGCGUCGUAGUCCGGAUUGGAGUCUGCAACUCGACUCCAUGAAGUCGGAAUCGCUAGUAAUCGUGGAUCAGAAUGCCACGGUGAAUACGUUCCCGGGCCUUGUACACACCGCCCGUCACACCAUGGGAGUGGGUUGCAAAAGAAGUAGGUAGCUUAACCUUCGGGAGGGCGCUUACCACUUUGUGAUUCAUGACUGGGGUGAAGUCGUAACAAGGUAACCGUAGGGGAACCUGCGGUUGGAUCACCUCCUUA
RNAcentral lists this ribosomal RNA (573 nucleotides) under Salmonella enterica subsp. enterica serovar Infantis. RNAcentral describes it as "bacterial SSU rRNA". It matches the Rfam family "Bacterial small subunit ribosomal RNA", at positions 960 to 1533 of the family's 1533-position model. The record is from RNAcentral. Lineage: Bacteria; Pseudomonadati; Pseudomonadota; Gammaproteobacteria; Enterobacterales; Enterobacteriaceae.